UAGUGUAACUUAUUUACAACAAGGAUAGUUGGAGACAUACCCAGUAUGUGGAUUUGAUAAAAACUCGUUUUCCCUUCUGUGUCUCUGUCUGUCUGCAAGGUACACAGACUGACCGUCUGUCUGCUCAAAACUUUUCUAUUGGUUGCAGACGAAGACACCGGUGUUGGUUGAUCAAUCCAACGUGUCACGGGUUGGUUGGGACAGUUCAUAUCCAAACCGGUUGUGUCGGUAGCGCUCCACCGCUACCCAAGUCCUCAAAACCGACAGGCACCGCUUUAUGACACUAUUUCACGGACAAAAAGAUGUUAGCCAGUCCACGUUAGUUGUGUUAGUCUCUCAGCUCUGAAAAUAGGGAAAAAGGGCUAACUUAUUUUAUGUAAUGUCCAAAAAUAUUUGUAUUUGCACGUUUCAUCGCCUGUGAUAGAAUUGUAUAGGCUACCUGUGUUGAUGCCCCCAAAAACACAAUUUGCCUAUAGUCUAGAAAUAACGUUCGCAGGUAUAACUCAAUGAUCAUGUAGCAAGUAACGCAAGCCUUAAUUUACACACAUACAUACAACCCAGUGACCAGGUGAAUAGGGGCUUCGUUAUCUUAUAAUGACAACAAUAUUUUCAUCAUUUUAAAAGUAGACUAGCUACUAUCGAAAUAAAAGUUAUUUUCAACAUAGGUGCAAUAUCCAAUAAUGUGUAAAAACCAAGAUUUUCGGUGGUUUGAGAUGUUGACAGACAUAUCGAUAUUCUGUUGAACACAAAUAGAUCGGCGUUGUAAAACCAAUCAACGAAGACAAAGAUUUAUUUUAUGGAAUAUCAAUCACUUUUAUUAUAUCCCCCUUUGUAAUGUACAUUUCAAUCCAACAAAUACUGGUAGCAAAAGUGCAGGUAUCGAUAUAUUAAAAGGUAGCUAGGUGGCUGUAGAAACCAACGGUAUUAGUCUACCACUCUGUGACACGCACAUGGGGCUCAAACUCAGCUCAGUGGAAAUUAAUAAAAGUCCUCAAUGAUCACAUUCGCAUUUACAAACGGAUAUUUACAAACGUUCUGUCAUACUUUCGCUGCCUGUGUUGGCUAGUUAACGAGUCCGUUUUGUUGUACAUUUUCCGCUGUCUUUAUAGCGUUUAUUUAUUUAUCUUUCUUUGCACGGGAUUGUCACUUGAUCUCCCGGAUAAACUGCCUUUUGCACAGCCAGAACAGGACUUUGGGAAACAUUCGUAUAUGUCUAUUUCUUUCAUACAAUUACCGGAUUCUUGUUUUUUUUGUGUUUUUUUUCUAUCUAAACCUCCUGUGGCACAAGGAUGCGUUGAAAUAUAAUAGAUUUUAAUGCAAAGUGGAAUUUGCGCGACUCCGGGUUCCCGGUCGUGUGUUGAUUGUGAGGACGAUCUCAUAUAGUUUGUGUGAUUUUGCUAAAAUGCAUCACCAACAGCGAAUGGCUGCCAUAGGGACAGACAAAGAACUGAGCGACUUAUUGGAUUUCAGUGCGAUGCGAAACAGCGAUUUGAAAAUGUUCCCAACAUCAAUGAUGUUCUCUCCUCCUGUUAGUGGUAAAAACGGACCAGCCUCCCUGGGAAGUGGACAUUUUGCAGGCUCAAAUAUGGAGGACAGAGCCAGUGCAGGAUCUUGGGGAAGUAGAAGUGCCCCUUCAAAGGUGAGGAA
Long non-coding RNA from Oncorhynchus masou masou (cherry salmon), 1647 nucleotides. RefSeq lists it as uncharacterized. Lineage: Eukaryota; Metazoa; Chordata; Actinopteri; Salmoniformes; Salmonidae. The transcript is spliced from 5 exons. The record is from RefSeq and is a predicted model, not a curated record.